CCCCUAGAUGUUCUGGGCCGCACGCGCGCUACACUGAACAGUUCAACAAGUCUUAACCUUGGCCGAUAGGUCUGGGUAAUCUUUGAACGCUGUUCGUGAUUUGGAUAGACCUUUGCAAUUAUGGGUCUUCAACGAGGAAUUCCUAGUAAACGCAAGUCAUCAGCUUGCAUUGAUUACGUCCCUGCCCUUUGUACACACCGCCCGUCGCACCUACCGAUUGAAUGGUCCGGUGAAAUCUCGGGACGGCGGCUUGGUCGCUUGCGUCCGACUGCUGAAACUUGAUUAAACCAUAUCAUUUAGAGGAAGGUGAANUCGUAACA
This 320-nucleotide ribosomal RNA is filed under the name uncultured eukaryote. Its description in RNAcentral is "partial 18S ribosomal RNA". It matches the Rfam family "Eukaryotic small subunit ribosomal RNA", at positions 1470 to 1796 of the family's 1831-position model. The record is from RNAcentral.